AUUGAACGCUGGCGGCAUGCCUUACACAUGCAAGUCGAACGGCAGCACGGGUGCUUGCACCUGGUGGCGAGUGGCGAACGGGUGAGUAAUACAUCGGAACAUGUCCUGUAGUGGGGGAUAGCCCGGCGAAAGCCGGAUUAAUACCGCAUACGAUCUACGGAUGAAAGCGGGGGACCUUCGGGCCUCGCGCUAUAGGGUUGGCCGAUGGCUGAUUAGCUAGUUGGUGGGGUAAAGGCCUACCAAGGCGACGAUCAGUAGCUGGUCUGAGAGGACGACCAGCCACACUGGGACUGAGACACGGCCCAGACUCCUACGGGAGGCAGCAGUGGGGAAUUUUGGACAAUGGGCGAAAGCCUGAUCCAGCAAUGCCGCGUGUGUGAAGAAGGCCUUCGGGUUGUAAAGCACUUUUGUCCGGAAAGAAAUCCUUGGCUCUAAUACAGUCGGGGGAUGACGGUACCGGAAGAAUAAGCACCGGCUAACUACGUGCCAGCAGCCGCGGUAAUACGUAGGGUGCGAGCGUUAAUCGGAAUUACUGGGCGUAAAGCGUGCGCAGGCGGUUUGCUAAGACCGAUGUGAAAUCCCCGGGCUCAACCUGGGAACUGCAUUGGUGACUGGCAGGCUAGAGUAUGGCAGAGGGGGGUAGAAUUCCACGUGUAGCAGUGAAAUGCGUAGAGAUGUGGAGGAAUACCGAUGGCGAAGGCAGCCCCCUGGGCCAAUACUGACGCUCAUGCACGAAAGCGUGGGGAGCAAACAGGAUUAGAUACCCUGGUAGUCCACGCCCUAAACGAUGUCAACUAGUUGUUGGGGAUUCAUUUCCUUAGUAACGUAGCUAACGCGUGAAGUUGACCGCCUGGGGAGUACGGUCGCAAGAUUAAAACUCAAAGGAAUUGACGGGGACCCGCACAGGCGGUGGAUGAUGUGGAUUAAUUCGAUGCAACGCGAAAAACCUUACCUACCCUUGACAUGGUCGGAAUCCCGCUGAGAGGUGGGAGUGCUCGAAAGAGAACCGGCGCACAGGUGCUGCAUGGCCGUCGUCAGCUCGUGUCGUGAGAUGUUGGGUUAAGUCCCGCAACGAGCGCAACCCUUGUCCUUAGUUGCUACGCAAGAGCACUCUAAGGAGACUGCCGGUGACAAACCGGAGGAAGGUGGGGAUGACGUCAAGUCCUCAUGGCCCUUAUGGGUAGGGCUUCACACGUCAUACAAUGGUCGGAACAGAGGGUUGCCAACCCGCGAGGGGGAGCUAAUCCCAGAAAACCGAUCGUAGUCCGGAUUGCACUCUGCAACUCGAGUGCAUGAAGCUGGAAUCGCUAGUAAUCGCGGAUCAGCAUGCCGCGGUGAAUACGUUCCCGGGUCUUGUACACACCGC
This 1366-nucleotide ribosomal RNA is filed under the name uncultured beta proteobacterium. Its description in RNAcentral is "16S ribosomal RNA". It matches the Rfam family "Bacterial small subunit ribosomal RNA", at positions 28 to 1393 of the family's 1533-position model. The record is from RNAcentral. Lineage: Bacteria; Pseudomonadati; Pseudomonadota; Betaproteobacteria.